GAUGAACGCUGGCGGCGUGCUUAACACAUGCAAGUCGAACGAUUAAAGCCCCUUCGGGGGUGUAUAGAGUGGCGAACGGGUGAGUAACACGUGGGUAACCUGCCUGGUGCACCGGGAUAGCUCAGGGAAACUUGAAUUAAUACCGGAUACUCCGACUAGACCGCAUGGUCUUAUCGGGAAAGCUCCGACGGCACCAGAUGGACCCGCGGCCCAUUAGCUAGUUGGUGAGGUAACGGCUCACCAAGGCGACGAUGGGUAGCCGAGCUGAGAGGCUGAUCGGCCACAUUGGGACUGAGACACGGCCCAGACUCCUACGGGAGGCUG
RNAcentral lists this ribosomal RNA (324 nucleotides) under uncultured Actinomycetes bacterium. Its description in RNAcentral is "bacterial SSU rRNA". It matches the Rfam family "Bacterial small subunit ribosomal RNA", at positions 28 to 351 of the family's 1533-position model. Lineage: Bacteria; Bacillati; Actinomycetota; Actinomycetes. The record is from RNAcentral.